Molecule: ribosomal RNA, 253 nt
Filed under: uncultured archaeon
Lineage: Archaea
Description: partial 16S ribosomal RNA
Rfam family: Archaeal small subunit ribosomal RNA
Source: RNAcentral
CACCGGCGCCACAAGUGGGAAUCAAAUUUACUGGGUCUAAAGCGUCCGUAGCCCGUUGGAAAAGUUUUAUGUGAAAUUGUUGGGCUUAACCUAACAACGUGCAUAGAAAACUGUCCGACUAGAGACCGGGAGGAGACAAGGGUACAUUAGGGGGAGUGGUAAAAUAUGAUAAUCCCUGAUGGACAGCCAAUGGCGAAGGCAUUUGUCUAGAACGGGUCUGACAGUGAGGGACGAAAGCUAGGGGAGCAAUCCG